GGCUGCUUGGUGGAAUGGAUAACACAUCAGUCCGGUCUACUGAAAAUGCUGGUUCGCACCCAGCCGCCA
This is a non-coding RNA of Meloidogyne enterolobii, 69 nucleotides long. NCBI's taxonomy places the organism in Eukaryota, Metazoa, Nematoda, Chromadorea, Rhabditida, Meloidogynidae. The record is from the annotation of a GenBank genome assembly.